RNAcentral lists this ribosomal RNA (301 nucleotides) under uncultured bacterium. RNAcentral describes it as "partial 16S ribosomal RNA". It matches the Rfam family "Bacterial small subunit ribosomal RNA", at positions 509 to 807 of the family's 1533-position model. The record is from RNAcentral.
CAGCAGCCACGGUAAUACGGAGGGGGCUAGCGUUGUUCGGAAUUACUGGGCGUAAAGCGCACGUAGGCGGCUUUGUAAGUUAGAGGUGAAAGCCCGGAGCUCAACUCCGGAAUUGCCUUUAAGACUGCAGAGCUAGCAGGUGAGAGAGGUGAGUGGAAUUCCGAGUGUAGAGGUGAAAUUCGUAGAUAUUCGGAAGAACACCAGUGGCGAAGGCGGCUCACUGGCUCAUACUGGACGCUGAGGUGCGAAAGCGUGGGGAGCAAACAGGAUUAGAUACCCGGGUAGUCCCUGUCUCUUAUAC